UGUUCCUUUAAAGUUAAGCAUGGGUUGUAUAUGAAUAUAUGUUGAGUAUGUAUACGGUUGGCUAUGGUUUUAUAUGUGAACAUUGACUUAGUAUGUUAUAUUGUAAUGGUAAAUUUCCUUAUCUAUGGUAACCCUUAGGAACACUUAGGUGUAUAUGAAGAGAUUGUAUGGGCGGUCACUUCAUGUUUCACUUAAGUGUGGCUUUGGGUAACUUGAGAUAGAGGUCAAGAAAUGAUGAAAAGGCUUACUUGUCAAUUAUGUUCAUGUGUUGUACAUUGGUACUAGUUGUGCAUGAUGACUUGUGAUAUGAAGCAUGAUAAGUGGUAAGUUCACAUUUGGUGGCCUUAGGAUGAUGCUUUAGUGUGGAUGGUGGUAUGGGACGCUAUCCAUACAUUGCACAAAGUGUUGUCCAAGGGUUACUUGAGGUGGAUGGUUUAAGGUGAAGGAAUGGGUUAUGUGUGGAGUAUGUGCUAAAGUGGUUAAUGACUUGUAUGUUGGUUAUGG
This 504-nucleotide long non-coding RNA is filed under the name Solanum tuberosum (potato). Its description in RNAcentral is "long non-coding RNA (STUB_LNC009634)". Lineage: Eukaryota; Viridiplantae; Streptophyta; Magnoliopsida; Solanales; Solanaceae. The record is from RNAcentral.